GACGAACGCUGGCGGCGUGCUUAACACAUGCAAGUCGAACGGAAAGGCCCUGCUUGCAGGGUACUCGAGUGGCGAACGGGUGAGUAACACGUGGGUGAUCUGCCCUGCACUUCGGGAUAAGCCUGGGAAACUGGGUCUAAUACCGGAUAGGAGCCAUUUUGAGUGUGAUGGUUGGAAAGUUUUUUCGGUGUAGGAUGAGCUCGCGGCCUAUCAGCUUGUUGGUGGGGUAAUGGCCUACCAAGGCGGCGACGGGUAGCCGGCCUGAGAGGGUGGACGGCCACAUUGGGACUGAGAUACGGCCCAGACUCCGACGGGAGGCAGCAGUGGGGAAUAUUGCACAAUGGGCGCAAGCCUGAUGCAGAGGCGCCGCGUGGGGGAUGACGGUCUUCGGGUUGUAAACUACUUUCGCUAGGGACGAAGCUUUUUGUGACGGUACCUAGAUAGGAAGCACCGGCUAACUACGUG
Molecule: ribosomal RNA, 465 nt
Filed under: uncultured bacterium
Lineage: Bacteria
Description: partial 16S ribosomal RNA
Rfam family: Bacterial small subunit ribosomal RNA
Source: RNAcentral